GGUGAACCUGCGGAAGGAUCAUUAUCGUGCU
Molecule: ribosomal RNA, 31 nt
Filed under: Dirofilaria sp. 'Thailand'
Lineage: Eukaryota; Metazoa; Nematoda; Chromadorea; Rhabditida; Onchocercidae
Description: partial 18S ribosomal RNA
Source: RNAcentral